UACAGAGGUCUCAAGCGUUGUUCGGAUUCAUUGGGCGUAAAGGGUGUGUAGGUGGCGCGCUAAGUCGGGUGUGAAAUUUCGGAGCUUAACUCCGAAACUGCAUUCGAUACUGGCGUGCUUGAGGACUGGAGAGGAGACUGGAGUUUACGGUGUAGCAGUGAAAUGCGUAGAUAUCGUAAGGAAGACCAGUGGCGAAGGCGGGUCUCUGGACAGUUCCUGACACUGAGACACGAAGGCCAGGGGAGCAAACGGG
This 253-nucleotide ribosomal RNA is filed under the name uncultured bacterium. RNAcentral's name for it is "partial 16S ribosomal RNA". It matches the Rfam family "Bacterial small subunit ribosomal RNA", at positions 524 to 776 of the family's 1533-position model. The record is from RNAcentral.